RNAcentral lists this ribosomal RNA (44 nucleotides) under Mallocybe malenconii. RNAcentral's name for it is "partial 28S ribosomal RNA". The record is from RNAcentral. Lineage: Eukaryota; Fungi; Basidiomycota; Agaricomycetes; Agaricales; Inocybaceae.
ACUUGAUCUCAAAUCAGGCAGGACUACCCGCUGAACUUAAGCAU